Molecule: transfer RNA, 88 nt
Filed under: Roseibacillus persicicus
Lineage: Bacteria; Pseudomonadati; Verrucomicrobiota; Verrucomicrobiia; Verrucomicrobiales; Verrucomicrobiaceae
Description: tRNA-Sec
Source: RNAcentral
GCAGGCCUUGCCCGAGGAAGCGCGGUCUGCGAUUCAGUUGCGGGAGGAGGAGAUUCUAAUCGCGCGGGAUGAUUCCGGCGGUCUACAC